Molecule: ribosomal RNA, 321 nt
Filed under: Munida spinosa
Lineage: Eukaryota; Metazoa; Arthropoda; Malacostraca; Decapoda; Munididae
Description: eukaryotic LSU rRNA
Rfam family: Eukaryotic large subunit ribosomal RNA
Source: RNAcentral
GGGGAGGAAAAGAAACCAACAGGGAUUCCCUUAGUAAGUGCGACUGAACCGGGAUGAGCCCAGCGCAUAACUUCGUCUGGAUAACCARAAGGACGAGGGGUGUUGCGUUUCAGAGUGUAUCUACCCACACNAUUCACUCACCUGCCUAAAUCCUUCCUUGAAAGGGGAACCUAGGARGGUGUUAGUCCCGUAUGGCAGUUGCCCUCMCCGGGAAUCAAAGUGAAGUGAGACGGACCAAUCUGUAGAGUCGGGUUGCUUGAUAAUGCAGCCCAAAGUAGGUGGUAAACUCCAUCUAAGGCUAAAUAUGACCACGAGACCGAU